Molecule: ribosomal RNA, 588 nt
Filed under: cf. Pedicellasteridae sp. CLM-2010-1
Lineage: Eukaryota; Metazoa; Echinodermata; Asteroidea; Forcipulatida
Description: partial 16S ribosomal RNA
Rfam family: Bacterial large subunit ribosomal RNA
Source: RNAcentral
CGCUCUUUGGAAAAAUUUUUAUGUAUAAAGAGUUCUGCCUGCCCGGUGAUAAGUUAAACGGCCGCGGUAUUUUGACCGUGCAAAGGUAGCAUAAUCAUUUGCCUUUUAAAUGGAGGCUGGUAUGAAUGGCAAGACGGAGAUUUAGCUGUCUCUUUCUUAUAGUUUUGAAAUUAAUAUUCUUGUGAAGAAGCGGGAAUAGAUUCGUGGGACGAGAAGACCCUAUUGAGCUUUUAGUUUUCAUUCUUAGUAAAUAAAAAAGUUUUAUAAAACUAAUUAAGAGAAGUGUCUGGAAGUAAAGUUAUUUUAAGAACUUUUUUACUUUUGAAUUAAUUUGGAUUGGGGCAAUCGUGGAGAAUAAAUAACCUCCAUUUUUACAAUAUAAAAAUUCGACAUGUUUGGAUAAAUAUAUUUUAUAGUAAAUGAUCCACCUAGUCAGGUGAUUAAAGGAAUAAGUUACCAUAGGGAUAACAGCGUAAUUUUUUUGGAGAGUUCAUAUUGAUAAAAAAGUUUGCGACCUCGAUGUUGGAUCGGGAUUUCCUAGGGAUGCAGCAGUUCCUGAGGGUUGGUCUGUUCGACCAUUAAAAUCCU